Molecule: transfer RNA, 72 nt
Filed under: Candidatus Gottesmanbacteria bacterium
Lineage: Bacteria; Candidatus Gottesmaniibacteriota
Description: tRNA-Gln
Rfam family: tRNA
About the family: Transfer RNA (tRNA) molecules are approximately 80 nucleotides in length. Their secondary structure includes four short double-helical elements and three loops (D, anti-codon, and T loops).
Source: RNAcentral
UGCCGGGUCGUUCAAUGGUAGGACAUCGCCCUUUGGAGGCGAGUAUUCUAGGUUCGAAUCCUAGCCCGGCAG